UAUGACUAUCACAGUUUGGCUCCGAUCUUCCUUUCUUCAACCUCUUUAUUUUACCAAAAGAUGGACCGUCGGCCAACAGAUUCCAAAGGUUAUGAUCCUUCGAAUUCUUAACCAUUUAUUCUACUAACAACCUAUUGUUACCAACUAAAUUGCCUAACCAUCAGUCUAAUUCUCAAGGUUAUCAAUAACCAACCAGUAACUUACCACGAAGUUUAUUUA
This 219-nucleotide long non-coding RNA is filed under the name Physcomitrium patens. RNAcentral describes it as "long non-coding RNA (PPAT_LNC006769)". Lineage: Eukaryota; Viridiplantae; Streptophyta; Bryopsida; Funariales; Funariaceae. The record is from RNAcentral.